CAAGUGCUCGCUUACAACGCAUGUUAGCUUCUCACUACAAAAUUCAGGAAAUGACAGCUUGGCUAAAAAAAAGUACCCUCCACGGCUAACCGACAUCAAGACUGCCUUUCAAAAUGUGGAUAAAUGUGUUCAGACAACGUGCUCCUGGACAGCGUAUGGCCUGGGAACCAUCAGACCAUCCACGGCAGGAGGUGCCACGGAGUCUGUAGAUGUGGCUGAUGCAACACUCGGAGGUGAUGUCAUGGAUGUGUCGGCCUCUUAGCAGCACUGCUGCGGAACAGACUGCGAGAGGGCGUUUCCUGUGUGUGAAUGGAGAGAGUGGCUUCCGUAUGACAUCAUCACAUAUGGUGAGGUGCAGCAGAUGUUCCCUUGAGCUAACAAACAAAAACACUGAUUAAGUCUCACCACCAGAUAAAUACCAUUUAUGUGUUUAAAAUGUGUUUAAAAUCACUAACAGUGGUUGUUAGCUUUAAUUGGAAAUAAAAAGUGCAAAAGGUCCUAUGUAUACUUAUUCCGUGGUGCCCAGCCUGUAUGUUUG
Sardina pilchardus (European sardine) is the source of this 538-nucleotide long non-coding RNA. RefSeq lists it as uncharacterized. NCBI's taxonomy places the organism in Eukaryota, Metazoa, Chordata, Actinopteri, Clupeiformes, Clupeidae. The transcript has 3 exons. The record is from RefSeq and is a predicted model, not a curated record.